GAGCUGGAGAUGAAGAAGAAGAAAGUGUACGAAGCCGGUGUUGAGUUCUUUCGGGUGUACGCCUACCUUCACAAAGGGAGCAUGACCAACACAGAUUGACUUGAUAUCAACGUUACCGACAAGCAUAACCUCAUUCGUAGGCGCUUGUUCUAGGCGAGGCAUUGGCAUAGCGAGGAAAAGUUUGAUGUUUUUGUGCUUCAAUGAUACUCGGUUAUGCUGCCUUUUUUUUGUAGACUGUAAAGGUCCCUUUUUGUGUAGUCUUACACCAUUGAAACUUACAUAGACCUUUUGAACUUGCUGCACCAUUGUCUUUCUUGUUAAUUUGGGAACUUGGGGCAUCAAGAUAACUUUUGUUCACUUUGAUGUAAUAUUUGAAUACCCUCUCUUUGUAAUGACAUGGGAUUAAUGACUACUUCAAUUUCACUCUUGUUCACCAUUUAGUGUAAAAGCCACUGUAUGCUUUUCAGCUAUGCUUAAAAGAACAUAACAAAAUAUCAAAAGUUUACUUACUCCAAUUUAAAAGCCCUAUAUUAAGAUAAUUAAUUUGGAAUUCUGGACCAAUUUUACAUAUCAUGUGCACGACAUGUGCUUAUGGAGAUUUGAAAUAGUAAAUUUUAAAAUUUUUUCCUAGCUGGGAAAUUCAAAAUGGGUCAAAAUUUGGGCGGCAUUUUUGAGUUUUGGGAUAGGUACGAAAUAUGUGGUUGUCCUUUGAUUUUGUAUCAAUAAAAGACAACACAAUACACCACAUUUCCUCAUCCCUCAAACAAAGAAAUCCAUAACCACACCCAUGCAAUGAAAUCUUCACCUUCUUGUUCCCUCUCUUGCUCCCAUCUCCGCCCCCCCCCCCCCCCCCGCGAAAAUCUUCUUCUUCUCGUUCCUACCUAACACAGGUUUAUGGGAUCCAUAUGAGCUUGAAACAAUUGUAAGGAGGAUUACUAAGCAUGAGGGAAAUCAUGCAAAGAACCUCACAUCUUUGAAGCGGAAAUUGAAAAUGGCUCGUUGACCCAUGAAGAUGAUCGUGACAAAAGAGAUUGUGAAGUUCAUGUCAUCCGAUACGUACAUUGAUGGAAUGGGCGAGCAAUACAACCAAGGCUAUCAAUUGGGACUUUGUGAGGGGUUCAAGAUAUAUCACCUCUAUGCAAUGAAAGUGGAUGUUGACGGGAAGUGGGCGACCAUUAACUACUACAAGGCACUUGCCUUUAGGGCCACUUGCUAGAUUGUUUUACGGUUCUUUCGUGUUAGGAAUAAUUUGAACUCUUUUGUCUGUCCUUCAAAUUUUCUUAUAUUUCGACAUUUCGUAUAUGGAUUGUUAUAAGAAGGACCCCUUCAAUGUUAUCUAUGUUAUUUAUUAUUGGGAAAUGAGCCAUUUGCUUAAUCAUGGGACCAAAAUAGGACUUUUGGGACGUGCACAAAGCAUGCACAUGUCAUGCACACUACAUGCUCAGCACAAGCACAUGCAUUAGUUUAGAUAACGCACAUGAUUUCCUCGCACAAGCUAGGUUGAAGAGAUUUCUGGGGUAAACAUAAAGAAACGUAGCUGCAUAAUCUAAAUCUUUAGAUAAUUCUGUGUGUGGAUUGUUAUAAGAAGGACCUUAAUAUUUCAUUACUUCAAUGUUAUUUAUUAUCGGGAAAUUAACCAUUUGCUUAAUCAUAGGACCAAAGCAUGCACAGAACAUGCACACGACAUGCAUAAAUCAUGCACAUAACAUGCUCACUACAUGAUCAACACAAGACAUGCACAUUGCAAAUUGAAAUUACUAAAAUUACUAAAAUUAUUAAAAUUAAGAUAACAUUUACAUGGGAAGACAAACACCGAUCCAUUAUGUACUAAAUUUACAUUACAUUUAAGUGAAUAAACCGCAAAGUGUACGAAACUUAAUUGUUUGGUUAUAACCAGAAAAACUUCAAGCCAACUUGACAACAUGUUUUGCGUUGUUAUAACAAGAAAAACUAGUCAAAUAAAUGUUGCUUCCAUAUGACUUCACAGAUAUGCACUACCUCAUAUGAACUCAAUCGCAAUCUUUAGUCUGAAAAACCCCAGGUUCUUCGGAACAACAUCGUCGAUGGCCAAGUAGGUGGAUAGGUAGUUAGCAAAUUUAAGUAAUAAAACUCCGUAGGCCGCCUUACCACAGAACAACAAGUGCACGUAACAACGCACUCAAUAUUUAAGACAUUUAAAAUGAAAUUAAAGAUAAGUCAGAAAAGAACGUACCCAUUGUCUUGCUACUCACAUUUGAUUACAUGAUAAAUGCUAAACGGUUUAUCCAUCGAUUUAUGGGUUAGGCUCAAAUCAGGUCGUGCCUUGCCAAAUCCAGUCACCUUCUGAAGACUGGGAAUUUCAAAAUAGAAAUGUGGAAGCUGUUUCUUCAUUUUUACCCAUCCUGACCUUGAGAAAUGUGAAUCAUAAAUUGUGAUGGUGUGACGUACAAGAUGGACAUGUGCCAACAGCUAGUGGUGAUCGAUCACGUGAAAUGGGAUGAAUACUUCAUCAACAUCCUCCCAUGCACGCGUGUGUGGUGUCAUGCCUCAAUGCAACGUGACAUUAAUCAAGUGCCUCGAAGGCAUAAAAACAGAAGCUUAUUUUUCCUUUGCCUUCCCCUUGGCCUUAACAUUUGUUUUGGCAUUCUCAAAAUUCGCGGCUUCCUUUUUCAUUUUUUCCUGCACCGAUGCAUUGCAACAAAAUUAAAAAUUUUCCCACAUAAAACAAAAACAAAGGACAUGUUUGCCUAUUUGUAAACGACAAUGAAUUCAUAUUACGAACAUAAGUAAAUGAAAUUGAGGGUAAGAAUAGUAACAUAAAACUCACCUAAAAAUUUUAGGAUGCUCCAAUGAUCGCAUGUUCAAAAGGUGAAGUCGAUGUUGAUGUGCUAAAUCCAAAGUGAAAUGCAUUGCAAAUGGCAUUAUUAAGCACUUUGAUGCGAAAAUUAACUUAACACACAAAUUUAACCCUCUUUUUGUCAAUUGUAGUAAAGAAUGUAAGUAGGGAUCGUUCUAGGCCGGGGAUUAGGAGGGAUUGCUAAAUCACUUGGAAACUGACUUGAAAACGUAAAAACAAAGUUUAAAACACUAAACUAGACUCAAAGAAUGCAAAACUAUACUUUAAAAUAUUAAGAUAAACAAAAAGAUUCAAAACAGCAAAUAAACACUCAAAACUGCCUUAAAAACA
Molecule: long non-coding RNA, 3166 nt
Filed under: Malus domestica (apple)
Lineage: Eukaryota; Viridiplantae; Streptophyta; Magnoliopsida; Rosales; Rosaceae
Description: long non-coding RNA (MDOM_LNC010310)
Source: RNAcentral